AGAAAGAAAGAAAGAAAAAAAAAAAAAGCAUAUUUGACGUUAGGGGAAAAAAACCCUUUAACGCUGUAAAAGUCUCUCUGGUUAUUUUCACUUUUUGUUUUGGACAAAAAAGAAGGAGAUGAGAGGAACAUUUUUAAAACGCCAUGUAGAUCGCCUCGUGGUUAUUUUUAUUGUUUUAAAGAUAAUAACCAGAACUGCAGGAGGAUCUCUGUGACUCCCGGUCAGCCUGAGGGACAUAGUGAGACUUUGUUUUAAAGAGUGGGUUAGCAGCAAACUUAAGCAACUUUUCUCGAAGGAAGAGAGACCUGCCCUGGUCAUUUGAGGAAUAGGAUGGAUGCGGUAUUGUGGACUCUGCUCAGGCUGAGCGGCAGGCAGUUAUUAAAUAAGGUGUGGCACCAGGCCUGUGACCCAGAACUUGAGAAGCUGGAGCAGAAGACAGCUGUGACCUCAAAGACCACCGAGGUUACAUAAUGAACUCAGCCUGGACAAGAGAUUAUCUGCCCAUUGCCUGGGGCUUAAGAGCAUGGACUUUCAUCUGAGUGACCUCCAGGGGUUAUGCUGUGGUACAUAAGUCAACUUCCC
Molecule: long non-coding RNA, 582 nt
Filed under: Cricetulus griseus (Chinese hamster)
Lineage: Eukaryota; Metazoa; Chordata; Mammalia; Rodentia; Cricetidae
Description: lncRNA (ENSCGRG00000025498.1)
Source: RNAcentral